GUCCAGUUCGUUACCGCUGAGCCACAAUGGGAACUUCCUAGGAUGGCCUUGGCUUUAAAGUGCACCUGCUGAAGUUCUUCUAACUCACCCCCUUCUGCCACUAGCCAAUUUAUUCCUUUCCCUCAUUCAACUGUCCACUGAGUUCUUGCCUGUUGGGGCUACCUCAAUUUUCUAUAGUUAUAAAGAGUAGAAUAUAAAGUUGAAGAAAAAAACUAAAUGUAGCAAUUCUCAUCAUCUGCGUGACUUUGAAAGUCAACCCUCUUAAUAAGCAAACAUAUGAUGAUUGAUUGUACAUGUUCGAAAUAGCCGUGACUCUGGUCUCUCCAGUUUCUUCUUGUUUGGGAAUUUCUGAAAUCCAGAGGCUGAAUAAAAACAUAAACUAGAAAUCUAGAAAAUAAAGAGAACACCGAACAGAUUAGGAAUAUUUAAUAUAUUAAGGAAAACAGAAUAGAGUAAACCCAUGUAAAAGGUACACAUUUUAGGAGUUCCCGUCAUGGCUCGGUGGUUAACGAACCUGACUAGCAUCCAUGAGGACGCUGGUUCGAUCCCCAGCCUCGCUCAGUGGAUUAAGGAUCCGGCGUUGCCAUGAGCUGUGGUGUAGGUCGCAGACGCAGCUCAGAUCCGGUAUUGCUGUGGCUGUAGCGCAGGCUGGCAGCUGUAGCUCCGAUGUGACCCCUAGCCUGGGAACCUCCAUUUGCUGCAGCUGGAUUAGGACCCAAUCCAAUGACUUCAUCUAACCUCUUUACCUCUUUAAGGGCUUUAUCCCCAAGUACAAUCAUGUUUUGAGGUACUGGUAGGUCAGGACUUAAGUAUAUGAAUUUGGGGUGAGGGUGGGGACAUAAUUCAGCUCAUAACAUCUAAGAAUGCAAUAAUUUACAAAAGCCUCAGUGUGUUCAUUUUCUUUAUUUAUAUCACUGGUUAUAUAGCUAUCUGGAAAGAUGAAGUCACUCGAGUGAAUAUGAUAACAAUAGAACUCAAGCUCUCAGUUAAAAAAAAAAAUUUCCAAGAGUUCCCUGGCUAAUCAGCAGAUUGUAUCCAGUGUCAUCACUGCUGGGGUCUGGGUCACUGCUAUGGCACAGGUUUCAUCCCUGGCCCGGGAACUUCUGCAUGCCAUGGGCACAGCCAAAUAAUAAUAACAGCAAAUAAUAAUGAUGAUAAUCCACACAGACCUACAAUCUACUGUGAUGAGGCUGUGCAUGAUUUGACUAAUUUUCAUAAGGAUAAUAGCAAGUAUUUAAGGAUAGACCUUGUUUCUGAAAUUUUCAUACAAUGGAUGACAUCUUUCACAUUGUCUUUUCAUUAAUAUUCAUAAACACAGUCUCAUAUUAAGUAUUUACAUCUUUUGGUUCAACAGAGGAUACAAGACCAGCAACAGCGGUAUGCCAUGCUCGCUAUCCUCGCUGAAAAACACCGCCUAUACAAGGCAGUGUUUCCAGAACUUGGAAAAUAUAUGGAGCACUUCAUGAAUAAUUAUUUUAACUCAACGUGAAGAAGAGCUAAAUAUCUGUGAAAAUAUAAACAGACUACACUCUGGGAGGAAAAGAGUUGCCACUGGUUUAAUUCUACGUAAUUUAUGGAAUUUAUACAGAAACAACUAUGAAUACUCUAUAUAAUUAUAGGCAUUCACUGCUUAAAGAGGCAGUUGAUUUAUUAUUUAUAAUUUAUGUUAAACAGAUUAUUACAUUUAUUUUGUUCAUUUCUUCAUGAUUUAUGUUUUAAAAUAUUAUAUAUAUACAUAUAUAUAUAUAUGUGUGUGUGUAUAUACAAGAAAGAAGCCUGAAGUUAUGUCUGUAGUUCUGUGGGUAUUUAGAAAGGAACAAAAAAGUUCCUCAAAGAUAAAAAGAAAAUAUGCUCCCUUUUCUGUUCUUAAUUGCCUGAGGGAUCAACCGCAAAAUCAGUGCAAUGAAACAGUCGGAGCUUGAGAGCUGGGCUUCCUAAAGCUGGAGAUGCUCAGAAAUGCUCAGCAGGACAUCACAGAGCUUCCCCAUCCCCAGCGUUUAGGCUCCUGGUAUAUUAAAAACAUCUUUGGAUGUCAGAACAAAAUUUGAAAGCACACACACACACAUAGAAUCAUUGUACCUCAUUUGAAAAAAAGACCAUCUGAAUGUGAAGGCUUUUGCACAUAUGUUACCAUGACAACCAGGCCCUGUCAGUUCCCAGCCCCACGUCCCCACAGGCUCAGCCUCCCCAGGAUGGACUCAGAGAGGCAGCUUAGCAACUUGUUACUGGAAAGCUGUGGUUGAAGCAUGACUGUCCAAUCCCCAUGUGUCUUUAGCGGAUUCAUUGGAUUUGUUUCCUACAGUUGCUACAACAAACUCUCCCGUAGGGGCUUAGAACAAUACAAACUUACUUCCUUACUCUUCUGGAGGCCAGUGGUCUGAGAUGGGUGUCACUGGACCCAAACCAAGGUGUUGUCUGGACUGGUUUCUCUCUGGAGGUUCUGAGGGAGAAUCUAUUUUCUUGCCCUUCCGGUUUCCAGAGGCUGCCCGCAUUCCUCGUCUCCUGGCCCCUUUCUCCACUUCCAAAUGCAGCAAUGGGGUGUCAUGUCCCCUUCACACCUCAUUCUCUUUGACCCCCUCUUCCAUUGCCUUAUCUAACCCCUGCCAUCCUCUUCAUUUUUUGGAGGGGCCAUGCUUACGGCAUGUGGAAUUUCCUGGAUGAAACCCCUGCCACAGCAGUAACCAGAGCAACAUCAGUGGCAAUGCCAGACCCUUAACCCACAGAGCCGCCAGGAAGCUCCAUCCUUUCCAGUUUUUAAGGGCCUGUGGGAUUACAUUGGGCCCACUAGGAUAACUGUCCUAUGUUAAGGUCAGCUAAUUAGCGACCUUAAUUCCAUUUGCAGCCUUAAUUUCUUUUUGUCAUGAAACAUAUUCACCAAUUAUGGGGACUUUGACAUGGUGUCUUCUUGGGGUUGUUCUACCUAGCUCACUUAUUUUUUCAUUAACAGUAAAUACAUUGGCCAAGGACUACCAUGAGGACUAAUUAAUAUAUUCAAGAAGCAGACAACAUCAGGAAAGAAAACAGAUCUUGUGAUGUAACUGAACAUUAGUACACUGGGGAAGUGGCAUAAAAUCCAGAGAAGAGGGAAUGCCAUAAAGUAAUAUCUGGAGAAAUGGACACUUGAACCCAGUGGUCUAAGCACAGGAAGAAGUGUGGUAGUUUUUUGUUUGUUUGUUUGUUUGUUUGUUUAUUUUCCCACUGUACAGCAAGGGGGUCAGGUUAUCCUUACAUGUAUACAUUACAAUUACAUUUUUUCCCCCAUCCUUUGUUCUGUUGCAACAUGAGUAUCUAGACAUAGUUCUCACUGCUAUUCAGCAGGAUCUCCUUGUAAAUCUAUUCUUUUUUUUUUUGUAGGAGAAAGAAUAUGUAUGCAGAAGAUGGAGGAGGCAGAAUAGGACCAGGUACUGGAGAAACAUUUCCCAGGAACAAAUAUAGCAAGUUGAAAUUAGUCUCACCCAAUUUUUCGAAUCUCCUUUGAUAAAACUAACAGAUGAGGGCUCUAACAAGCAACAUCAAACACCAAACUCCUUGUGUUAUUUUUAAUUAGAAAAUAAAUUUAGAAGCAAUGAUACUUAUUGCAUUAGAGAAGGUUGGAAGGAGCUGUCUUGCUCCCUCUAAUGUUCCUUCCACUGUAAUCACCUGAUGAUAUUCUUAUAAAAGCUAAACACUGAAAGCUAAAUAAAACCUCUCAGUGAAAAACAAGGGUAUGAAUUUAUUGUGAAUAAAUGCAACAUUUUACUUAAAACCAGAUCUUUUAGAGUCACUGUUCCUUCUCCCUGGUCCCCAGAGGGCUGAUUCUGGAGCUCCUUGCAUGUGGAAGGCCCAUCAGGAUCCAGCCCCAAAGGCCUCCCCAGGUUCUCCUGAAGCAGCAAGACAAUGGCUUAUUCCAACCUAGGCUUGUUCCCGCAGCAGGAAAACAAACCUGUUCCAAGGCCGGUGAGGGGUAUUUUGUGAGUGUGACCUCAGAGGUCCUGAGGUCCCUCAGGCAGGCCCCUAACUUCUCUGAUCCUCAUCUAAACUUUAAGAUUAUCCUAAGAUCUACUCUACAUACAUAUAAGUAGGAACAAGUGUGAGAUGCUGAAUUAAGGUUUCCAGAGAAACAGAACACAUAGGAUGUAUAGAGAGAUUUAUCCAUAAGAGAUUUAUUACAGGAAUUGGUUCAUGAGAGUACGGAGUCCCACCAUCUUCUGUGUUCAGCUGGAGAACCAGGAAAGCCGGUGGCGUCAUUCAGCUCAAGUCCAAAGGCAUAAGAUCCAGAGGAACUAAUAGAGUCAGUCCUGAGGGGAGUCAAUCAGCCUGAGAAUCAGAGAGCCAAUGGCUUAAGUCCUGGACCAAGGCAGAGGCUGGAGAACCGGAAGCACCUGUGUCUGAGGACAGGAAGACGGAGGUCCCACCUCAUGCAGAGAGAGUGAAUUCACCCCUUCUCCUUUGUGUUCUCUUGGGGUUCUCAACGGGGCGGGCAAUGCCCAUCUUCGGCGGUGUUCUCUCCUCUUCCUACUGAAUCAGAUGCUGAUCUCUUCAGAAACACCCUCACAGAUAAAUCCAGAAAGGUUUUACCCACCAUCCCCACAUCUUUUUAUCCCAAUCAGGUUGACACAUUAAAGGAACCACCAUAGAGGAAAACCAUUAUACAAAUAUUACUGUUGUUUAUAGGCAUCUUCUGAUAGGUGACACGUGUGUGUAGGAGCAUGCGUGCAGCCUUGCCCCUCACCAUCAGCACCAGACACCUUUCUAAAUGCAACCUGACCGAGAAAGACUUUCUGUGACGGAAAAUGACAUCUCCCACCCUCCAGCUUUGAUCCCCAAACACUCACCGCUGAGCAGCACUGACUGUUGCCUGAUGACCAAUAAAACCAACUUUGCAUAUUCUGGCCUGUGGAAGCAAACCUGAUAAACAAGAGGGGGAAUAAAUAUUUAUAAAUAAGAAGAGCGGGAGUUAACAAUGCAUCACAGCAUCAUUAAAUAUAUUUUCUCUAAACAGGGAAGAGUUUGCAGGUAAUUAGCAGCAUGAAAAUGUGAAAAGUGUCAACACAUGCCAUGCAGUGGUGAAAAGACACACACACAUAAAAUCCAGCACUCAGUGCUAAUUGAAGAAAAUACAUAUGCAAAUGUAUUCAUAAUGGUAGAUCUAGAAAUGCCUUUUUUCCCCUCAAAUUUCCUAAAUCAUCAAAAAGUGAUUAUGUUUUCAUUUUUCUUGCUGUCUAGAAAGCUUCAAAGUUUUCACCUCUGCUGUUUUUCAGAAGAUGCUUUACGGGGGCAGUGGUUUGGGGUCAGGAAAAUGAUCCCCUCGUGUUUCUCAUCUGUAUUUAAUUUCCACCUGAAUUGUCACUGACAUUUGCCUCUGAAAUUAAAAUAAUACUAAGGCCAAAGGAUGGAAAAAUAGAUCAAAGAAACAGAAUAAAGGGUCCAAAAAUAGACCCACACUUAUUCUGAAAAUUGGUUGUUAAGAAAAGUUUCAAAGAUACUCAGAUGAAAAGAAAAAUAUUGUAACAAAUGGUGCAAAAAAAAAGAAAGUGACUCUCUCUAUGGAUAAAGUUUACCUCAUUGUAAAUUGUAAAUAUUUUAUAAAAAUAAAUUAAUACUCUUAAAAAUUAAAUGCUUGUGCCCUUUCAAAAAUAUUUUAACAUAAUAAAGGAUAGACCAGAGUUUGGGAGGACAGUAUUUGCAAAGCACAUUAAAAAAAAAAAAAACUUCCUUCAGACUAUUGAAAAGAACUUUGACUACCCAAUCUGUCUCACAAUAAUACAAGAAAAGCAUCUCAUAUAAUAAAUGAGAACAACUGACUCAGUUUUUUUUAAAGGGGCAAGAUAUUUGAAGGGACAUUUUGCAGAAGAAUAUAUGAGGAUGGUUAACAAGCAUGAGAAAAGAUGCUCAUUAUCAUUAGUCGUCAGGGAAACGCAAACUAAAGCCACAUUGUGAUACCCUAGACAUCCCAGCACCAUAGCUACAGUUAAAAGGAUUGGCCGCUCCAUGUUUCGGUGAAGAAGAGGAAUGGCCAGAACUCUCAUUUCUACCUAGCGAAAAAUGCAAAAAAAUUUGGAAGUUUCUUAGAAAGUUAAACACAAAUUUACCCUAUGCUUAUGAGACUCAAACAUCC
This 6097-nucleotide long non-coding RNA is filed under the name Sus scrofa (pig). RNAcentral describes it as "lncRNA (ENSSSCG00015047014.1)". The record is from RNAcentral. Lineage: Eukaryota; Metazoa; Chordata; Mammalia; Artiodactyla; Suidae.